CCUACGGGACGCAGCAGUGAGGAAUAUUGGUCAAUGGGCGGGAGCCUGAACCAGCCAAGCCGCGUGAGGGAAGAAGGUACAGCGUAUCGUAAACCUCUUUUGUCAGGGAACAAAGGCGGGGACUAGUCCUCGGAUGAGGGUACCUGAAGAAAAAGCAUCGGCUAACUCCGUGCCAGCAGCCGCGGUAAUACGGAGGAUGCGAGCGUUAUCCGGAUUUAUUGGGUUUAAAGGGUGCGCAGGCGGUCUGUUAAGUCAGCGGUCAAAGCCCGGGGCUCAACCCCGGCCCGUCGUUGAAACUGGCAGUC
Molecule: ribosomal RNA, 305 nt
Filed under: uncultured bacterium
Lineage: Bacteria
Description: bacterial SSU rRNA
Rfam family: Bacterial small subunit ribosomal RNA
Source: RNAcentral